GGAGCUUGCUCCUUUGACGUUAGCGGCGGACGGGUGAGUAACACGUGGAUAACCUACCUAUAAGACUGGGAUAACUUCGGGAAACCGGAGCUAAUACCGGAUAAGAUUUUGAACCGCAUGGUUCAAUAGUGAAAGACGGCCUUGCUGUCACUUAUAGAUGGAUCCGCGCCGUAUUAGCUAGUUGGUAAGGUAACGGCUUACCAAGGCAACGAUACGUAGCCGACCUGAGAGGGUGAUCGGCCACACUGGAACUGAGACACGGUCCAGACUCCUACGGGAGGCAGCAGUAGGGAAUCUUCCGCAAUGGGCGAAAGCCUGACGGAGCAACGCCGCGUGAGUGAUGAAGGUCUUCGGAUCGUAAAACUCUGUUAUCAGGGAAGAACAAACGUGUAAGUAACUGUGCACGUCUUGACGGUACCUGAUCAGAAAGCCACGGCUAACUACGUGCCAGCAGCCGCGGUAAUACGUAGGUGGCAAGCGUUAUCCGGAAUUAUUGGGCGUAAAGCGCGCGUAGGCGGUUUUUUAAGUCUGAUGUGAAAGCCCACGGCUCAACCGUGGAGGGUCAUUGGAAACUGGAAAACUUGAGUGCAGAAGAGGAAAGUGGAAUUCCAUGUGUAGCGGUGAAAUGCGCAGAGAUAUGGAGGAACACCAGUGGCGAAGGCGACUUUCUGGUCUGUAACUGACGCUGAUGCGCGAAAGCGUGGGGAUCAAACAGGAUUAGAUACCCUGGUAGUC
Molecule: ribosomal RNA, 735 nt
Filed under: Staphylococcus pasteuri
Lineage: Bacteria; Bacillati; Bacillota; Bacilli; Caryophanales; Staphylococcaceae
Description: bacterial SSU rRNA
Rfam family: Bacterial small subunit ribosomal RNA
Source: RNAcentral